Molecule: ribosomal RNA, 497 nt
Filed under: uncultured bacterium
Lineage: Bacteria
Description: partial 16S ribosomal RNA
Rfam family: Bacterial small subunit ribosomal RNA
Source: RNAcentral
GAUGAACGCUGGCGGCGUGCCUAAUACAUGCAAGUCGAGCGAACAGACGAGGAGCUUGCUCCUCUGACGUUAGCGGCGGACGGGUGAGUAACACGUGGAUAACCUACCUAUAAGACUGGGAUAGCUUCGGGAAACCGGAGCUAAUACCGGAUAAUAUAUUGAACCGCAUGGUUCAAUAGUGAAAGACGGUUUUGCUGUCACUUAUAGAUGGAUCCGCGCCGCAUUAGCUAGUUGGUAAGGUAACGGCUUACCAAGGCAACGAUGCGUAGCCGACCUGAGAUGGUGAUCGGCCACACUGGAACUGAGACACGGUCCAGACUCCUACGGGAGGCAGCAGUAGGGAAUCUUCCGCAAUGGGCGAAAGCCUGACGGAGCAACGCCGCGUGAGUGAUGAAGGUCUUCGGAUCGUAAAACUCUGUUAUUAGGGAAGAACAAAUGUUUAAGUAACUAUGCACGUCUUGACGGUACCUAAUCAGAAAGCCACGGCUAACUACGUG